This 1607-nucleotide ribosomal RNA is filed under the name Salmonella enterica subsp. enterica. RNAcentral's name for it is "partial 23S ribosomal RNA". It matches the Rfam family "Bacterial large subunit ribosomal RNA", at positions 1213 to 2802 of the family's 2925-position model. Lineage: Bacteria; Pseudomonadati; Pseudomonadota; Gammaproteobacteria; Enterobacterales; Enterobacteriaceae. The record is from RNAcentral.
CUGAUGCGUUGUUGGGUAGGGGAGCGUUCUGUAAGCCUGUGAAGGUGGCCUGUGAGGGUUGCUGGAGGUAUCAGAAGUGCGAAUGCUGACAUAAGUAACGAUAAAGCGGGUGAAAAGCCCGCUCGCCGGAAGACCAAGGGUUCCUGUCCAACGUUAAUCGGGGCAGGGUGAGUCGACCCCUAAGGCGAGGCCGAAAGGCGUAGUCGAUGGGAAACGGGUUAAUAUUCCCGUACUUGGUGUUACUGCGAAGGGGGGACGGAGAAGGCUAUGUUGGCCGGGCGACGGUUGUCCCGGUUUAAGCGUGUAGGUGUGUGUUCCAGGUAAAUCCGGUUCACUUUAACACUGAGGCGUGAUGACGAGGCACUACGGUGCUGAAGCAACAAAUGCCCUGCUUCCAGGAAAAGCCUCUAAGCAUCAGGUAACAUCAAAUCGUACCCCAAACCGACACAGGUGGUCAGGUAGAGAAUACCAAGGCGCUUGAGAGAACUCGGGUGAAGGAACUAGGCAAAAUGGUGCCGUAACUUCGGGAGAAGGCACGCUGACAUGUAGGUGAAGUGAUUUACUCAUGGAGCUGAAGUCAGUCGAAGAUACCAGCUGGCUGCAACUGUUUAUUAAAAACACAGCACUGUGCAAACACGAAAGUGGACGUAUACGGUGUGACGCCUGCCCGGUGCCGGAAGGUUAAUUGAUGGGGUCAGCGCAAGCGAAGCUCCUGAUCGAAGCCCCGGUAAACGGCGGCCGUAACUAUAACGGUCCUAAGGUAGCGAAAUUCCUUGUCGGGUAAGUUCCGACCUGCACGAAUGGCGUAAUGAUGGCCAGGCUGUCUCCACCCGAGACUCAGUGAAAUUGAACUCGCUGUGAAGAUGCAGUGUACCCGCGGCAAGACGGAAAGACCCCGUGAACCUUUACUAUAGCUUGACACUGAACAUUGAGCCUUGAUGUGUAGGAUAGGUGGGAGGCUUUGAAGUGUGGACGCCAGUCUGCAUGGAGCCGACCUUGAAAUACCACCCUUUAAUGUUUGAUGUUCUAACGUGGACCCGUAAUCCGGGUUGCGGACAGUGUCUGGUGGGUAGUUUGACUGGGGCGGUCUCCUCCUAAAGAGUAACGGAGGAGCACGAAGGUUGGCUAAUCCUGGUCGGACAUCAGGAGGUUAGUGCAAUGGCAUAAGCCAGCUUGACUGCGAGCGUGACGGCGCGAGCAGGUGCGAAAGCAGGUCAUAGUGAUCCGGUGGUUCUGAAUGGAAGGGCCAUCGCUCAACGGAUAAAAGGUACUCCGGGGAUAACAGGCUGAUACCGCCCAAGAGUUCAUAUCGACGGCGGUGUUUGGCACCUCGAUGUCGGCUCAUCACAUCCUGGGGCUGAAGUAGGUCCCAAGGGUAUGGCUGUUCGCCAUUUAAAGUGGUACGCGAGCUGGGUUUAGAACGUCGUGAGACAGUUCGGUCCCUAUCUGCCGUGGGCGCUGGAGAACUGAGGGGGGCUGCUCCUAGUACGAGAGGACCGGAGUGGACGCAUCACUGGUGUUCGGGUUGUCAUGCCAAUGGCACUGCCCGGUAGCUAAAUGCGGAAGAGAUAAGUGCUGAAAGCAUCUAAGCACGAAACUUGCCCCGA